RNAcentral lists this transfer RNA (74 nucleotides) under Culex quinquefasciatus (southern house mosquito). It matches the Rfam family "tRNA". Rfam says of the family: Transfer RNA (tRNA) molecules are approximately 80 nucleotides in length. Lineage: Eukaryota; Metazoa; Arthropoda; Insecta; Diptera; Culicidae. The record is from Rfam by way of RNAcentral.
GGCUCCGUGGCUUAAUGGUUACGGCUUCUGCCUCACAAGCAGAAGGUUCAGGGAUCAAAUCCCGGUCGGUACCG